RNAcentral lists this ribosomal RNA (113 nucleotides) under Castor canadensis (American beaver). The record is from RNAcentral. Lineage: Eukaryota; Metazoa; Chordata; Mammalia; Rodentia; Castoridae.
GUCUGCAGCCAUCCCACCUCAAACACCCUCGAUCUCAUCUGAUCUUGGAAGCUAAGCAGGGUUGGGCUUGGUUAGUACUUGCAAGGGAGAAAAUAGUACUACUGUUGCUGUUC